CCUACGGGGGGCAGCAGUGAGGAAUAUUGGUCAAUGGGCGUAAGCCUGAACCAGCCAAGUCGCGUGAGGGAUGAAGGUUCUAUGGAUUGUAAACCUCUUUUAUCAGGGAAUAAAGUGCGGGACGUGUCCCGUUUUGUAUGUACCUUAUGAAUAAGGCUCGGCUAACUCCGGUCCCGCCGCCGCGGUAAUACGGAGGAUCCGAGCGUUAUCCGGAUUUAUUGGGUUUAAAGGGGGCGUAGGCGGCCUUUUAAGUCAGCGGUGAAAGUCUGUGGCUCAACCAUAGAAUUGCCGUUGAAACUGGGAGGCUUGAGUAUGUUAGAGGCAGGCGGAAUGCGUGGUGUAGCGGUGAAAUGCUUAGAUAUCACGCAGAACCCCGAGUGCGAAGGCAGCCUACCGGGGCAUGACUGACGCUGAGGCACGAAAGCGUGGGGAUCAAACAGGAUUAGAUACCCCGGUAGUC
RNAcentral lists this ribosomal RNA (460 nucleotides) under uncultured bacterium. RNAcentral describes it as "partial 16S ribosomal RNA". It matches the Rfam family "Bacterial small subunit ribosomal RNA", at positions 338 to 795 of the family's 1533-position model. The record is from RNAcentral.